This 253-nucleotide ribosomal RNA is filed under the name uncultured bacterium. RNAcentral describes it as "partial 16S ribosomal RNA". It matches the Rfam family "Bacterial small subunit ribosomal RNA", at positions 524 to 776 of the family's 1533-position model. The record is from RNAcentral.
UACAGAGGUCUCAAGCGUUGUUCGGAUUCAUUGGGCGUAAAGGGUGCGUAGGUGGCGCCGUAAGUCGGUGGUGAAAGCUCUUCGCUUAACGGAGAGACUGCCAUCGAUACUGUUUGUCUUGAGUUCGAGAGAGGAUGAUGGAAUUCAUGGUGUAGCGGUGAAAUGCGUAGAGAUCAUGAAGAACACCGGUAGCGAAGGCGGUCAUCUGGCUCGAUACUGACGCUCAGGGACGAAAGCGUGGGUAGCAAACAGG